UACGAACGCUGGCGGCGUGCUUAACACAUGCAAGUCGAACGGAAAGGCCCUGCUUUUGUGGGGUGCUCGAGUGGCGAACGGGUGAGUAACACGUGAGUAACCUGCCCUUGACUUUGGGAUAACUUCAGGAAACUGGGGCUAAUACCGGAUAGGAGCUCCUGCUGCAUGGUGGGGGUUGGAAAGUUUCGGCGGUUGGGGAUGGACUCGCGGCUUAUCAGCUUGUUGGUGGGGUAGUGGCUUACCAAGGCUUUGACGGGUAGCCGGCCUGAGAGGGUGACCGGCCACAUUGGGACUGAGAUACGGCCCAGACUCCUACGGGACGCAGCAGUGGGGAAUAUUGCACAAUGGGCGGAAGCCUGAUGCAGCAACGCCGCGUGCGGGAUGACGGCCUUCGGGUUGUAAACCGCUUUCGCCUGUGACGAAGCGUGAGUGACGGUAAUGGGUAAAGAAGCACCGGCUAACUACGUGCCAGCAGCCGCGGUGAUACGUAGGGUGCGAGCGUUGUCCGGAUUUAUUGGGCGUAAAGGGCUCGUAGGUGGUUGAUCGCGUCGGAG
RNAcentral lists this ribosomal RNA (554 nucleotides) under uncultured Propionibacterium sp. Its description in RNAcentral is "bacterial SSU rRNA". It matches the Rfam family "Bacterial small subunit ribosomal RNA", at positions 28 to 593 of the family's 1533-position model. The record is from RNAcentral. Lineage: Bacteria; Bacillati; Actinomycetota; Actinomycetes; Propionibacteriales; Propionibacteriaceae.